UACGUAGGGUGCAAGCGUUAAUCGGAAUUACUGGGCGUAAAGCGUGCGCAGGCGGUUGUGUAAGACAGAUGUGAAAUCCCCGGGCUCAACCUGGGAACUGCAUUUGUGACUGCACAGCUGGAGUGCGGCAGAGGGGGAUGGAAUUCCGCGUAUAGCAGUGAAAUGCGUAGAUAUGCGGAGGAACACCGAUGGCGAAGGCAAUCCCCUGGGCCUGCACUGACGCUCAUGCACGAAAGCGUGGGGAGCAAACAGG
Molecule: ribosomal RNA, 253 nt
Filed under: uncultured bacterium
Lineage: Bacteria
Description: partial 16S ribosomal RNA
Rfam family: Bacterial small subunit ribosomal RNA
Source: RNAcentral